GUCGCGGCCGCCUCUGACUCGCUUGGUGCAGGUCGGGAACGCUUCGAUCUGAAUUUUUUUUUUUUUUUUUUGAAGUUACUGCGAUCAAAAGCGAAUCCCGCCUUGCACCAACUGAAUCGGAGGCGGCGAAGCGA
This 134-nucleotide microRNA precursor is filed under the name Ananas comosus (pineapple). RNAcentral's name for it is "MIR168 microRNA precursor family". It matches the Rfam family "MIR168 microRNA precursor family". Lineage: Eukaryota; Viridiplantae; Streptophyta; Magnoliopsida; Poales; Bromeliaceae. The record is from Rfam by way of RNAcentral.